Molecule: ribosomal RNA, 253 nt
Filed under: uncultured bacterium
Lineage: Bacteria
Description: partial 16S ribosomal RNA
Rfam family: Bacterial small subunit ribosomal RNA
Source: RNAcentral
UACGUAGGUGGCAAGCGUUGUCCGGAUUUACUGGGCGUAAAGAGCGCGCAGGCGGUCGUUCAAGUCGAGUGUGAAAGCCCCCGGCUCAACUGGGGAGGGUCAUUCGAUACUGAUCGACUCGAAGGCAGGAGAGGGAAGCGGAAUUCCCGGUGUAGUGGUGAAAUGCGUAGAUAUCGGGAGGAACACCAGUGGCGAAGGCGGCUUCCUGGCCUGUUCUUGACGCUGAGGCGCGAAAGCUAGGGGAGCAAACGGG